UACGUAGGUGGCGAGCGUUGUCCGGAUUUAUUGGGCGUAAAGGGAACGCAGGCGGUCUUUUAAGUCUGAUGUGAAAGCCUUCGGCUUAACCGAAGUAGUGCAUUGGAAACUGGAAGACUUGAGUGCAGAAAAGGAGAGUGGAACUCCAUGUGUAGCGGUGAAAUGCGUAGAUAUAUGGAAGAACACCAGUGGCGAAAGCGGCUCUCUGGUCUGUAACUGACGCUGAGGUUCGAAAGCGUGGGUAGCAAACAGG
This 253-nucleotide ribosomal RNA is filed under the name Ligilactobacillus ruminis. RNAcentral describes it as "partial 16S ribosomal RNA". It matches the Rfam family "Bacterial small subunit ribosomal RNA", at positions 524 to 776 of the family's 1533-position model. Lineage: Bacteria; Bacillati; Bacillota; Bacilli; Lactobacillales; Lactobacillaceae. The record is from RNAcentral.